This 531-nucleotide ribosomal RNA is filed under the name uncultured bacterium. RNAcentral's name for it is "partial 16S ribosomal RNA". It matches the Rfam family "Bacterial small subunit ribosomal RNA", at positions 355 to 880 of the family's 1533-position model. The record is from RNAcentral.
UGGGGAAUUUUGGACAAUGGGCGAAAGCCUGAUCCAGCAAUGCCGCGUGUGUGAAGAAGGCCUUCGGGUUGUAAAGCACUUUUGUCCGGAAAGAAAUCCUUGGCUCUAAUACAGUCGGGGGAUGACGGUACCGGAAGAAUAAGCACCGGCUAACUACGUGCCAGCAGCCGCGGUAAUACGUAGGGUGCAAGCGUUAAUCGGAAUUACUGGGCGUAAAGCGUGCGCAGGCGGUUUGCUAAGACCGAUGUGAAAUCCCCGGGCUCAACCUGGGAACUGCAUUGGUGACUGGCAGGCUAGAGUAUGGCAGAGGGGGGUAGAAUUCCACGUGUAGCAGUGAAAUGCGUAGAGAUGUGGAGGAAUACCGAUGGCGAAGGCAGCCCCCUGGGCCAAUACUGACGCUCAUGCACGAAAGCGUGGGGAGCAAACAGGAUUAGAUACCCUGGUAGUCACGCCCUAAACGAUGUCAACUAGUUGUUGGGGAUUCAUUUCCUUAGUAACGUAGCUAACGCGUGAAGUUGACCGCCUGGGGAG